This is an RNA transcript of Syzygium oleosum, 1562 nucleotides long. It is a transcript of the gene named 26S proteasome non-ATPase regulatory subunit 7 homolog A, with no coding region annotated. The record is from RefSeq and is a predicted model, not a curated record. The transcript is spliced from 11 exons. NCBI's taxonomy places the organism in Eukaryota, Viridiplantae, Streptophyta, Magnoliopsida, Myrtales, Myrtaceae.
UUCUUCCUCCUCGUACCUUUUCUCCUUCGCAAGCAAACGCCCUGCACCGACGCACCUGCACGAGGAAGAAGCAAGCGCGCCGGGAACCAUCUCGAGGAACUCCGGCUCCGGCGAUCGCGCUCCGGGGGCGAGCGAUGGACGUGAUAAAGACGCAGCAGAUAUCGGCGAGGCCGGUAGAGAAGGUGAUAGUCCACCCUCUGGUCCUUCUCAGCAUCGUCGACAACUACAACCGGGUCGCCAAGGACACCCGCAGGCGCGUCGUCGGGGUGCUGCUCGGCACCGCCUUCAAAGGCACCGUCGACGUCACCAACAGCUACGCAGUACCUUUCGAGGAAGAUGACAAGGAUCCAAGCAUCUGGUUUCUUGAUCACAACUACCAUGAAGCCAUGUUUUCCAUGUUCAAGAGAAUAAAUGCGAAGGAGCAUGUUGUUGGAUGGUAUAGCACCGGUCCCAAGUUGCGAGAAAAUGACCUUAAUGUCCACGCAUUGUUUGAUGACUAUGUCCCGAAUCCUGUGCUGGUUAUAAUUGAUGUUCAACCUAAGGAACUUGGAAUACCAACAAAGGCAUACUAUGCUGUUGAAGAAGUCAAAGAGAAUGCAACUCAGAAAAGCCAGAAGGUGUUUGUGCACGUUCCUUCAGAAAUUGCUGCCCAUGAGGUUGAGGAAAUAGGUGUGGAGCACUUGCUACGUGAUGUAAAGGAUACAACCAUUAGCACCCUUGCCACAGAGGUCACUGGAAAGCUCACAGCCUUGAAGGGAUUGGAUGCUCGACUUAAGGAGAUAAGAAGCUAUCUUGACCUCGUCGUCGAUGGAAAGCUUCCAUUAAAUCAUGAGAUCCUGUAUCAUCUGCAGGAUGUCUUUAACCUCCUUCCGAAUCUGAAUGUCAAUGAGUUAAUCAAGGCUUUUGCAGUUAAAACGAAUGAUAUGAUGCUAGUUAUAUAUCUCUCUUCCCUCAUCCGAAGUGUGAUUGCACUCCAUAAUUUGAUCAACAAUAAGUCUUCUAGUAAUGAUGCUACCAGUCUUCUCCUACCAACAUUAGUUAUAGGCUUUUAGCUGAAAAGCCCACGUUAACCCUUCCUUUUAAUAUAGAUGAGUUCCUGACCAGUUGCCUUAUUAUCAAGUACUGAGAGAUUCUCAACAAAGAACACGAGAAGGCAGAAGACUCAAAACCUGUCGCGGUACCUGCUGCAUCUGGAAGCUAGAUGGAGGGAUGAAUUAACCUCAGAAACACUGCGAGUUUUCUCUGGACGAUGAACUGUGCGCCGUGCGUGUUUUGUUCUCCUAUUCUUGAGAUGGAUAAGAACCGGAUGAACGGGAGACGAAGUAAUUAGAUACUGUCCUGAAAAAAUUGUCAUUUGAUUAUUUUGCGAUGCCCUGUGACAUUUUAGUGGACUAACGAUAACAACUCUGCAAGUGCCAAAGUUCAAAACAACCCAGGUGACCGUCAAGUGUCCUUGAUCAUCUUCUUCUGUUGCUCGCGUUUUCCGGAGACGUUUAAUUGAAUGUAAUGAGAUCAUUGAUGGAGGUGCAAGUUAAACCUUGUUAAGCGGUUUUUGCCUGAGA